This 757-nucleotide ribosomal RNA is filed under the name Vibrio chagasii. Its description in RNAcentral is "bacterial SSU rRNA". It matches the Rfam family "Bacterial small subunit ribosomal RNA", at positions 62 to 796 of the family's 1533-position model. The record is from RNAcentral. Lineage: Bacteria; Pseudomonadati; Pseudomonadota; Gammaproteobacteria; Vibrionales; Vibrionaceae.
UCGAGCGGAACGAGUUAUCUGAACCUUCGGGGGAACGAUAACGGCGUCCAGCGGCGGACGGGUGAGUAAUGCCUAGGAAAUUGCCUUGAUGUGGGGGAUAACCAUUGGAAACGAUGGCUAAUACCGCAUAAUGCCUACGGGCCAAAGAGGGGGACCUUCGGGCCUCUCGCGUCAAGAUAUGCCUAGGUGGGAUUAGCUAGUUGGUGAGGUAAUGGCUCACCAAGGCGACGAUCCCUAGCUGGUCUGAGAGGAUGAUCAGCCACACUGGAACUGAGACACGGUCCAGACUCCUACGGGAGGCAGCAGUGGGGAAUAUUGCACAAUGGGCGAAAGCUGAUGCAGCCAUGCCGCGUGUAUGAAGAAGGCCUUCGGGUUGUAAAGUACUUUCAGUUGUGAGGAAGGGGGUGUCGUUAAUAGCGGCAUCUCUUGACGUUAGCAACAGAAGAAGCACCGGCUAACUCCGUGCCAGCAGCCGCGGUAAUACGGAGGGUGCGAGCGUUAAUCGGAAUUACUGGGCGUAAAGCGCAUGCAGGUGGUUCAUUAAGUCAGAUGUGAAAGCCCGGGGCUCAACCUCGGAACUGCAUUUGAAACUGGUGAACUAGAGUACUGUAGAGGGGGGUAGAAUUUCAGUGUAGCGGUGAAAUGCGUAGAGAUCUGAAAGGAAUACCAGUGGCGAAAGGCGGCCCCCUGGACAGAUACUGACACUCAGAUGCGAAAGCGUGGGGAGCAAACAGGAUUAGGAUACCCUGGGUAGUCC